CCUACGGGUGGCAGCAGUGAGGAAUAUUGGUCAAUGGGCUUGCGCCUGAACCAGCCAAGCCGCGUGAGGGAAGACUGCCCUAUGGGUUGUAAACCUCUUUUGUCAGGGGCAACGCCGGCUACGUAUACCCGGACUGAGAGUACCUGAAGAAAAAGCAUCGGCUAACUCCGUGCCAGCAGCCGCGGUAAUACGGAGGAUGCGAGCGUUAUCCGGAUUUAUUGGGUUUAAAGGGUGCGUAGGCGGAAUGCCAAGUCAGCGGUAAAAUCGCGGGGCUCAACCUCGCUCCGCCGUUGAAACUGGCGGGAUGGAGUGGGCGAGAAGUAUGCGGAAUGCGUGGUGUAGCGGUGAAAUGCAUAGAUAUCGCGCAGAACUCCGAUUGCGAAGGCAGCAGACCGGCGCCAAACUGACGCUGAGGCACGAAAGCGUGGGUAUCGAACAGGAUUAGAUACCCGAGUAGUC
RNAcentral lists this ribosomal RNA (459 nucleotides) under uncultured bacterium. RNAcentral describes it as "partial 16S ribosomal RNA". It matches the Rfam family "Bacterial small subunit ribosomal RNA", at positions 338 to 795 of the family's 1533-position model. The record is from RNAcentral.